This 425-nucleotide ribosomal RNA is filed under the name uncultured bacterium. Its description in RNAcentral is "bacterial SSU rRNA". It matches the Rfam family "Bacterial small subunit ribosomal RNA", at positions 355 to 775 of the family's 1533-position model. The record is from RNAcentral.
UCGAGAAUCUUCGGCAAUGGACGAAAGUCUGACCGAGCGACGCCGCGUGUGGGAUGAAGGCCUUCGGGUUGUAAACCACUGUCGUAGAGGAGGAAAUUAGUCGGGGUUCUCCCCGGCCAUUGACCUAUUCUAGGAGGAAGGACGGGCUAAGUACGUGCCAGCAGCCGCGGUAAUACGUACCGUCCAAACGUUAUUCGGAAUUACUGGGCUUAAAGGGUACGUAGGCGGCGCUGUCAGUCGGGUGUGAAAUCCCACGGCUCAACCGUGGAACUGCGCCCGAUACUGCAGUGCUUGAGGGAGACAGAGGUAAGCGGAACUGAUGGUGGAGCGGUGAAAUGCGUUGAUAUCAUCAGGAACACCGGUGGCGAAAGCGGCUUACUGGGUCUCUUCUGACGCUGAGGUACGAAAGCCAGGGGAGCGAAGGG